UAAGCCUGCAUGUCUAAGUAUAAGCAAAUUUUACAGUGAAACUGCGAAUGGCUCAUUAAAUCAGUUAUCGUUUAUUUGAUGUUCCCUUACUACAUGGAUACCUGUGGUAAUUCUAGAGCUAAUACAUGCUUCAAAGCCCGGCCUCUGGUCGGGCUGCACUUAUUAGAUAAAAAACCAAUGCCUUCACGGGCUCUUUGGUGAUUCAUAGUAAUUUAGCGGACCGCAUGGCCUUGAGCCGGCGGUGGAUCAUUCAAAUUUCUGCCCUAUCAACUUUCGAUGGUAGGAUAGUGGCCUACCAUGGUUUCAACGGGUAACGGGGAAUUAGGGUUCUAUUCCGGAGAGGGAGCCUGAGAAACGGCUACCACAUCCAAGGAAGGCAGCAGGCGCGCAAAUUACCCAAUNCCGAUACGGGGAGGUAGUGACAAUAAAUACUGAUACAGGGCUCUUAUGAGUCUUGUAAUUGGAAUGAGUACAAUUUAAAUCCCUUAACGAGGAACAAUUGGAGGGCAAGUCUGGUGCCANCAGCCGCGGNAAUUCCAGCUCCAAUAGCGUAUAUUAAAG
Molecule: ribosomal RNA, 561 nt
Filed under: uncultured eukaryote
Lineage: Eukaryota
Description: SSU rRNA
Rfam family: Eukaryotic small subunit ribosomal RNA
Source: RNAcentral